GACGAACGCUGGCGGCGUGCCUAAUACAUGCAAGUAGAACGCUGAAGGAGGAGCUUGCUUCUCUGGAUGAGUUGCGAACGGGUGAGUAACGCGUAGGUAACCUGCCUGGUAGCGGGGGAUAACUAUUGGAAACGAUAGCUAAUACCGCAUAAGAGUAGAUGUUGCAUGACAUUUGCUUAAAAGGUGCAAUUGCAUCACUACCAGAUGGACCUGCGUUGUAUUAGCUAGUUGGUGGGGUAACGGCUUACCAAGGCGACGAUACAUAGCCGACCUGAGAGGGGGAUCGGCCACACUGGGACUGAGACACGGCCCAGACUCCUACGGGAGGCAGCAGUAGGGAAUCUUCGGCAAUGGACGGAAGUCUGACCGAGCAACGCCGCGUGAGUGAAGAAGGUUUUCGGAUCGUAAAGCUCUGUUGUAAGAGAAGAACGAGUGUGGGAGUGGAAAGUUCACACUGUGACGGUAUCUUACCAGAAAGGGACGGCUAACUACGUG
This 495-nucleotide ribosomal RNA is filed under the name uncultured bacterium. RNAcentral describes it as "partial 16S ribosomal RNA". It matches the Rfam family "Bacterial small subunit ribosomal RNA", at positions 28 to 507 of the family's 1533-position model. The record is from RNAcentral.